GGACACGGUUGGCUAGAUGGUUGUUUUCAUCCUUUAUCAUGGCUCGUUAUGCCCCUGCCAAAGCUGCAUGCUAAGUGGAAGAGGUCUCCUUCACUGAUAGAGGAGGACCAUUCUUCAGUGGAUGUGAGCAGCUGUGCUCCUCUGCUAGGUCUUUUGUAGGAGAAUUGUGUGUCAACCUUCCAAGGUUCCAGAGACACCCAAGUGGGCCACUGUACUGGGCAAUGUGCCUUUCUA
RNAcentral lists this small nuclear RNA (234 nucleotides) under Mus pahari (shrew mouse). RNAcentral describes it as "sRNA (MGP_PahariEiJ_G0008284.1)". It matches the Rfam family "7SK RNA", at positions 63 to 331 of the family's 331-position model. Rfam says of the family: 7SK was discovered as an abundant small nuclear RNA in the mid-70s but a possible function has only recently been suggested. Two independent studies have found that 7SK RNA binds the CDK9/cyclin T complex (known as elongation factor P-TEFb). The record is from RNAcentral. Lineage: Eukaryota; Metazoa; Chordata; Mammalia; Rodentia; Muridae.